Molecule: transfer RNA, 72 nt
Filed under: Candidatus Pacearchaeota archaeon
Lineage: Archaea; Nanobdellati
Description: tRNA-Ala
Rfam family: tRNA
About the family: Transfer RNA (tRNA) molecules are approximately 80 nucleotides in length. Their secondary structure includes four short double-helical elements and three loops (D, anti-codon, and T loops).
Source: RNAcentral
GGGCUCGUAGUGAAACGGUUAACACGUAUCCUUCGCAAGGAUAAAGUUCGGGUUCAACUCCCGACGAGUCCA